RNAcentral lists this small nuclear RNA (21 nucleotides) under Arabidopsis thaliana (thale cress). RNAcentral's name for it is "snRNA_17804". The record is from RNAcentral. Lineage: Eukaryota; Viridiplantae; Streptophyta; Magnoliopsida; Brassicales; Brassicaceae.
CUUGGAAUAAAUUUAUUAUGC